Long non-coding RNA from Schistocerca gregaria, 558 nucleotides. RefSeq lists it as uncharacterized. Lineage: Eukaryota; Metazoa; Arthropoda; Insecta; Orthoptera; Acrididae. The record is from RefSeq and is a predicted model, not a curated record. The transcript is spliced from 3 exons.
GGCCUAGAGGUGUAGACACCGCAAGUAACUGCAAUUCGAAUAAGGCAUAAGUCAUAUUUUUUGAAGCAUGGACAUUACCUUAAUUGCUCAAAAUAUUUCUCUUUUGCUGCCUGAUCUUAUUGCUCUCCUGUCAGAGAUAAUAUCUGUGGGCCCAGAUGAUACCAAUUUGCUUAAACAAGUUUGUAUUUUUAAGACCAGGUUUCUGGCUCUUAGUUUGGCUUUAGAAAAACUUCCAGGAGCAGAGCUAACGUCCUAUAGGCAAGUUGAAAAGUAUGACGAACUCAAGUUACAGCUCCAAACCCUCAACGAUACCAUAAAGGAAUACGUCAAAGACCUGCCAUUCGACAUCAAUUUAGAAGCAAGCGACGUUGACAAAGAUAGAACUCAGAUAUGACGUUAACCGAGUCAAGACAAGGGACGGUGGUCGGCUUGCAUUAAAAACUGCGUAUUUAAUGUCACGAAGCGCAAGGCAUUAUAAAGGUCAAUACAAACAAACAUCUAGAGUGCGGCUUUUCUAGCGCCAUAGUCAACAAUCUCAAGUUUCUGCCAAUAUAUAAA